UGGUGGAAUGAUUUGUCUGCUUAAUUGCGAUAACGAACGAGACCUUAACCUACUAAAUAGCCCGGCUAGCUUUUGCUGGUCGCAGGCUUCUUAGAGGGACUGUCGGCUCAAGCCGAUGGAAGUUUGAGGCAAUAACA
Molecule: ribosomal RNA, 137 nt
Filed under: uncultured eukaryote
Lineage: Eukaryota
Description: partial 18S ribosomal RNA
Rfam family: Eukaryotic small subunit ribosomal RNA
Source: RNAcentral